Molecule: non-coding RNA, 113 nt
Filed under: Desulforamulus reducens
Lineage: Bacteria; Bacillati; Bacillota; Clostridia; Eubacteriales; Peptococcaceae
Also listed under: 1 other name
Description: Desulfotomaculum reducens TPP sequence
Rfam family: TPP riboswitch aptamer (THI element)
About the family: Vitamin B(1) in its active form thiamin pyrophosphate (TPP) is an essential coenzyme that is synthesised by coupling of pyrimidine and thiazole moieties in bacteria.
Source: RNAcentral
AUAAAACCUCAGGGGUGCCGGAUGAGUCUGGCUGAGAUUUCCUCACGUUGAAGAGGAGGACCCUUGAACCUGAUCUGGGUUAAGCCAGCGGAGGGAGAGGUGCAGCAAUCGUU